Molecule: ribosomal RNA, 773 nt
Filed under: uncultured Neocallimastigales
Lineage: Eukaryota; Fungi; Neocallimastigomycota; Neocallimastigomycetes; Neocallimastigales
Description: partial large subunit ribosomal RNA
Rfam family: Eukaryotic large subunit ribosomal RNA
Source: RNAcentral
AGAGAGAGACAUGCGCGCAUAUCAAUAAGCGGAGGAAAAGAAACUAACAAGGAUUCCCCUAGUAACGGCGAGUGAAGCGGGAAGAGCUCAAAUUUGAAAUCUUAAAGGGUUUCCCUUUACGAAUUGUAGUUUAAAGAAGUGUUUUCUGUUGAGGUUUUGGUAAAAGUUCUUUGGAAUAGGACAUCAUAGAGGGUGAGAAUCCCGUAUUUGACCUUUACUUUCAACUUUGUGAUACACUUUCAAGAGUCGGAUUGUUUGGGAAUGCAGUCCAAAAUGGGUGGUAAAUUUCAUCUAAAGCUAAAUAUUGGCGAGAGACCGAUAGCGAACAAGUACCGUGAGGGAAAGAUGAAAAGAACUUUGGAAAGAGAGUUAAACAGUACGUGAAAUUGUCAAAAGGGAAGCGUUUGACACCAGUGUUGUUUUUCUGAAAAUCAAUUAAAGAACUGUUUAUGCUAAGUUGUUUAGACUUUAUCAGCUAACUGUUUAGUUUUGAGCUUUUCUUUAAUGCACCUUUCAGUUAACAAGUCAACAUCAAUUUCUUUUGCUGUAAAAAAGCUUGAGGAAGGUGGCUUGAGAUUCGUCUUAAGUGUUUAUAGCCUCUUGCCUAUGCAGUCGGAGAGAUUGAGGUCUGCAGCGUAGAUCCUUCGGGGCUAAAUGCAUUUGUGCUAAGUUAUAGCAUUUUAUAGACAACUUGUUGACUAUGAUUUGUCUUGUAGCUUACUCGCUUAUGUUAUUUUACCUACGCUUAGGAUGUUGACGCAUGAGAUAUACGC